UUGCCUGAAGAAGUUGUUGAUUUGGAGGAAAUUAGUGAGCUUACUGGAUUGACUGAAAUUUCGGAAGGCGAAGAAAGUGAAGAAGAUAGGUCUGAUUUUGAGGUAAGUGAUGAUGUGGUUAAAGCUGAAUUUUCAGAUUUAUCUUCAUUUGAUAUUGACUUUGAUGAGUAUGGUAAAGCAAAGCCAAGAAUUGCAGAACCCAAGUUUAGAAUGAGUUUAGCUGAGCUUUUGGAUGAGAGUAGGGUAGUGCCAGUGUCAGUUUAUGGAGAUUUAGAGGUGG
RNAcentral lists this unclassified non-coding RNA (280 nucleotides) under Hevea brasiliensis (rubber tree). Lineage: Eukaryota; Viridiplantae; Streptophyta; Magnoliopsida; Malpighiales; Euphorbiaceae. The record is from RNAcentral.